UAUAUUUAAGUUGUUGCAGUUAAAAAGCUCGUAGUUGGAUUUUGGUUAAGAGGGCGCGGUCGGCCGUUUGGUCUGUACUGCGUUGUCUUGACUUCCUGAUGAGGACAUGCUCUUGGUUAACGCUGAGACAUGGAGUCAUCGUGGUUACUUUGAAAAAAUUAGAGUGUUCAAAGCGGGCUUACGCUUGAAUAUAUUAGCAUGGAAUAACACUAUAGGACUCCUGUCCUAUCUCGUUGGUCUCGGGAUGGGAGUAAUGAUUAAGAGGAACAGUUGGGGGCAUUCGUAUUUCAUUGUCAGAGGUGAAAUUCUUGGAUUUAUGAAAGACGAACUUCUGCGAAAGCAUUUGCCAAGGAUGUUUUCAUUAAUCAAGAACGAAAGUUGGGGGCUCGAAGAUGAUUAGAUACCAUCCUAGUCUCAACCAUAAACGAUGCCGACUAGGGAUUGGUGGAUGUUAAUUGAUGACUUCACCAGCACCUUAUGAGAAAUCAAAGUUUUUGGGUUCCGGGGGGAGUAUGGUCGCAAGGCUGAAACUUAAAGGAAUUGACGGAAG
RNAcentral lists this ribosomal RNA (550 nucleotides) under uncultured marine picoplankton. RNAcentral describes it as "SSU rRNA". It matches the Rfam family "Eukaryotic small subunit ribosomal RNA", at positions 600 to 1162 of the family's 1831-position model. The record is from RNAcentral.